UACGGAAGGGGCGAGCGUUGUUCGGAAUCAUUGGGCGUAAAGGGUGCGUAGGUGGCGCCGUAAGUCAGGGGUGAAAUCUCGGGGCUUAACUCCGAAACUGCAUUUGAUACUGCGGUGCUUGAGGACUGGAGAGGAGACUGGAAUUUACGGUGUAGCGGUGAAAUGCGUAGAUAUCGUAAGGAAGACCAGUGGCGAAGGCGGGUCUCUGGACAGUUCCUGACGCUGAGGCACGAAGGCCAGGGGAGCAAACGGG
RNAcentral lists this ribosomal RNA (253 nucleotides) under uncultured bacterium. RNAcentral describes it as "partial 16S ribosomal RNA". It matches the Rfam family "Bacterial small subunit ribosomal RNA", at positions 524 to 776 of the family's 1533-position model. The record is from RNAcentral.